RNAcentral lists this ribosomal RNA (497 nucleotides) under uncultured bacterium. RNAcentral's name for it is "partial 16S ribosomal RNA". It matches the Rfam family "Bacterial small subunit ribosomal RNA", at positions 28 to 507 of the family's 1533-position model. The record is from RNAcentral.
GAUGAACGCUGGCGACGUGCCUAAUACAUGCAAGUCGAGCGAACGGACGAGAAGCUUGCUUCUCUGAUGUUAGCGGCGGACGGGUGAGUAACACGUGGAUAACCUACCUAUAAGACUGGGAUAACUUCGGGAAACCGGAGCUAAUACCGGAUGAUAUUUUGAACCGCAUGGUUCAAAAGUGAAAGACGGUCUUGCUGUCACUUAUAGAUGGAUCCGCGCUGCAUUAGCUAGUUGGUAAGGUAACGGCUUACCAAGGCAACGAUGCAUAGCCGACCUGAGAGGGUGAUCGGCCACACUGGAACUGAGACACGGUCCAGACUCCUACGGGAGGCAGCAGUAGGGCAUCUUCCGCAAUGGGCGAAAGCCUGACGGAGCAACGCCGCGUGAGUGAUGAAGGUCUUCGGAUCGUAAAACUCUGUUAUUAGGGAAGAACAUAUGUGUAAGUAACUGUGCACAUCUUGACGGUACCUAAUCAGAAAGCCACGGCUAACUACGUG